RNAcentral lists this ribosomal RNA (2239 nucleotides) under Salmonella enterica. RNAcentral's name for it is "partial 23S ribosomal RNA". It matches the Rfam family "Bacterial large subunit ribosomal RNA", at positions 582 to 2804 of the family's 2925-position model. RNAcentral also lists the same sequence under 1 other name. Lineage: Bacteria; Pseudomonadati; Pseudomonadota; Gammaproteobacteria; Enterobacterales; Enterobacteriaceae. The record is from RNAcentral.
CCCUUUGGGGUGUGACUGCGUACCUUUUGUAUAAUGGGUCAGCGACUUAUAUUCUGUAGCAAGGUUAACCGUAUAGGGGAGCCGGAGGGAAACCGAGUCUUAACCGGGCGUUAAGUUGCAGGGUAUAGACCCGAAACCCGGUGAUCUAGCCAUGGGCAGGUUGAAGGUUGGGUAACACUAACUGGAGGACCGAACCGACUAAUGUUGAAAAAUUAGCGGAUGACCUGUGGCUGGGGGUGAAAGGCCAAUCAAACCGGGAGAUAGCUGGUUCUCCCCGAAAGCUAUUUAGGUAGCGCCUCGUGAAUUCAUCUCCGGGGGUAGAGCACUGUUUCGGCUAGGGGGCCAUCCCGGCUUACCAACCCGAUGCAAACUGCGAAUACCGGAGAAUGUUAUCACGGGAGACACACGGCGGGUGCUAACGUCCGUCGUGAAGAGGGAAACAACCCAGACCGCCAGCUAAGGUCCCAAAGUCAUGGUUAAGUGGGAAACGAUGUGGGAAGGCCCAGACAGCCAGGAUGUUGGCUUAGAAGCAGCCAUCAUUUAAAGAAAGCGUAAUAGCUCACUGGUCGAGUCGGCCUGCGCGGAAGAUGUAACGGGGCUAAACCAUGCACCGAAGCUGCGGCAGCGACACUCAGGUGUUGUUGGGUAGGGGAGCGUUCUGUAAGCCUGCGAAGGUGGCCUGUGAGGGUUGCUGGAGGUAUCAGAAGUGCGAAUGCUGACAUAAGUAACGAUAAAGCGGGUGAAAAGCCCGCUCGCCGGAAGACCAAGGGUUCCUGUCCAACGUUAAUCGGGGCAGGGUGAGUCGACCCCUAAGGCGAGGCCGAAAGGCGUAGUCGAUGGGAAACGGGUUAAUAUUCCCGUACUUGGUGUUACUGCGAAGGGGGGACGGAGAAGGCUAUGUUGGCCGGGCGACGGUUGUCCCGGUUUAAGCGUGUAGGUGUGUGUUCCAGGUAAAUCCGGUUCACUUUAACACUGAGGCGUGACGACGAGGCACUACGGUGCUGAAGCAACAAAUGCCCUGCUUCCAGGAAAAGCCUCUAAGCAUCAGGUAACAUCAAAUCGUACCCCAAACCGACACAGGUGGUCAGGUAGAGAAUACCAAGGCGCUUGAGAGAACUCGGGUGAAGGAACUAGGCAAAAUGGUGCCGUAACUUCGGGAGAAGGCACGCUGACAUGUAGGUGAAGUGAUUUACUCAUGGAGCUGAAGUCAGUCGAAGAUACCAGCUGGCUGCAACUGUUUAUUAAAAACACAGCACUGUGCAAACACGAAAGUGGACGUAUACGGUGUGACGCCUGCCCGGUGCCGGAAGGUUAAUUGAUGGGGUCAGCGCAAGCGAAGCUCCUGAUCGAAGCCCCGGUAAACGGCGGCCGUAACUAUAACGGUCCUAAGGUAGCGAAAUUCCUUGUCGGGUAAGUUCCGACCUGCACGAAUGGCGUAAUGAUGGCCAGGCUGUCUCCACCCGAGACUCAGUGAAAUUGAACUCGCUGUGAAGAUGCAGUGUACCCGCGGCAAGACGGAAAGACCCCGUGAACCUUUACUAUAGCUUGACACUGAACAUUGAGCCUUGAUGUGUAGGAUAGGUGGGAGGCUUUGAAGUGUGGACGCCAGUCUGCAUGGAGCCGACCUUGAAAUACCACCCUUUAAUGUUUGAUGUUCUAACGUGGACCCGUGAUCCGGGUUGCGGACAGUGUCUGGUGGGUAGUUUGACUGGGGCGGUCUCCUCCUAAAGAGUAACGGAGGAGCACGAAGGUUGGCUAAUCCUGGUCGGACAUCAGGAGGUUAGUGCAAUGGCAUAAGCCAGCUUGACUGCGAGCGUGACGGCGCGAGCAGGUGCGAAAGCAGGUCAUAGUGAUCCGGUGGUUCUGAAUGGAAGGGCCAUCGCUCAACGGAUAAAAGGUACUCCGGGGAUAACAGGCUGAUACCGCCCAAGAGUUCAUAUCGACGGCGGUGUUUGGCACCUCGAUGUCGGCUCAUCACAUCCUGGGGCUGAAGUAGGUCCCAAGGGUAUGGCUGUUCGCCAUUUAAAGUGGUACGCGAGCUGGGUUUAGAACGUCGUGAGACAGUUCGGUCCCUAUCUGCCGUGGGCGCUGGAGAACUGAGGGGGGCUGCUCCUAGUACGAGAGGACCGGAGUGGACGCAUCACUGGUGUUCGGGUUGUCAUGCCAAUGGCACUGCCCGGUAGCUAAAUGCGGAAGAGAUAAGUGCUGAAAGCAUCUAAGCACGAAACUUGCCCCGAGA